UAGAACAUCUAUAAUAAAACAGUGGCUCACAAAACAAAAAAAUGUACUAGCUAUCUUCAUCAUUUGGUAAUGAUCACAGGGAUUUAAAAAAUAUUAAUAUUUUAAUUAGUGGAUGCAGACUUUUGCAAGGUUGGGAAGACAUGGUGGGAUCUACCACAUAAUAAGGGUGACAUCAUACUCGUCGUCAAAGGGUAUUGCCAUUUACUUUUGGCCACGGCAAAGAGUGUUCUUACCCUUCUCUCCCUCCAUCAACUCUCUAACAAGCAUCUCCACUUCAUCUCUCUUGAAAGUGUUAUCAAUCUCCAUGCCACUGCCCCAUUCAUUGCAAGUAUAAUAACAAUUGGUUCUCUGGUCAGCAAAGAAUGGCGAGCAGAUCAUAGGCACUCCUGCAGUCAGAGCUCAAAGAAUCUUCUGGAAUCUGAUUGAGAAGUAAUUGGAUAGGUCCAAUGGUAUGAAGAGGUGGAAUCAGCAUAGAUGAGAGAGCAUCCAUAACAUCUUGUUCCAAAGCAUCAAAUUUUGGAUGCAGGUUGGAAGAUCCCGUAGACGAAUCAUACUUUACCAUCAAACGGCCACGAGUGAUCCCCAACAAAUCAUCAGCUAACGAAAAGCUAGCCCAGAUAGGAGCUGAAUCAAAAAACUGAAUAUCCAGGUCUAAACUGAAUAUCCAGUCCGCCAAACCAUUCUUCUCUCUGAAAA
This is a long non-coding RNA of Prunus avium (sweet cherry), 696 nucleotides long. RefSeq lists it as uncharacterized. The record is from RefSeq and is a predicted model, not a curated record. Lineage: Eukaryota; Viridiplantae; Streptophyta; Magnoliopsida; Rosales; Rosaceae.